UACGUAGGGUGCGAGCGUUAAUCGGAAUUACUGGGCGUAAAGCGUGCGCAGGCGGUUAUAUAAGACAGUUGUGAAAUCCCCGGGCUCAACCUGGGAACUGCAUCUGUGACUGUAUAGCUAGAGUACGGUAGAGGGGGAUGGAAUUCCGCGUGUAGCAGUGAAAUGCGUAGAGAUGUGGAGGAACACCGAUGGCGAAGGCAGCCCCCUGGGUUAACACUGACGCUCAGGCACGAAAGCGUGGGGAGCAAACAGG
This 253-nucleotide ribosomal RNA is filed under the name uncultured bacterium. Its description in RNAcentral is "partial 16S ribosomal RNA". It matches the Rfam family "Bacterial small subunit ribosomal RNA", at positions 524 to 776 of the family's 1533-position model. The record is from RNAcentral.